RNAcentral lists this ribosomal RNA (239 nucleotides) under uncultured bacterium. RNAcentral describes it as "partial 16S ribosomal RNA". It matches the Rfam family "Bacterial small subunit ribosomal RNA", at positions 524 to 762 of the family's 1533-position model. The record is from RNAcentral.
UACGGAGGAUCCAAGCGUUAUCCGGAAUUAUUGGGUUUAAAGGGUCCGCAGGCUGUUUGUUAAGUCAGGGGUGAAAUCCUACCGCUCAACGGUAGAACUGCCUUUGAUACUGGCAAACUUGAGUUAUUGUGAAGUAGUUAGAAUGUGUAGUGUAGCGGUGAAAUGCAUAGAUAUUACACAGAAUACCAAUUGCGAAGGCAGAUUACUAACAAUUAACUGACGCUGAGGGACGAAAGCGU